Molecule: non-coding RNA, 2972 nt
Organism: Nylanderia fulva
Lineage: Eukaryota; Metazoa; Arthropoda; Insecta; Hymenoptera; Formicidae
Source: RefSeq, a predicted model, not a curated record
AUUAUCCGGAAACAUGCCGCGCUUGUCCCUCAGGGUGCCCUCCCACCAUCCGCCAAGCAUCAUCUUAAUCUCGGUGAUGAUGUCACCCUUCCUCAGCGUCAGCUCAUCGUCCUCUUGUGCCACAUAAUUAUAUUCCACUAUCGCCUCCAUCGUAACGGCACGUAUUAAUAUCUACGGGCAAACAGCACGCACUUGUCUCACCAUGCGACGAAUUCGAUCGGAUGAUUCGUCGCCGAUGUCACAAUACGAUGUCGAGGCGAGAGAAGAGACGACGAUGCUCGGCGAAAGCCGCGAGUCGAGAAACCGAGUGAGAGUUCGCAUGAAAAAAAACCAGGUCGCACGCGAAUGUAAUAUGUACGUAUGUAUAUCUACGUACGAGUUACGAGGCGAGAUGCGUUCGCGGGGUACGAUAUAACGCGUACUGACUGUCGACGUCUCCGUACGGAUAAACCCGGCCGGAUUUCAUGUGCGCGAGCAUCGUAACGCGACGCGAACGCAAACGCGCGAUUAGGCUCCGCGGUCGGACUGAAAAUUUAGGCGGAUCCCGGGGACGGUUAGCAACUUCCCGUACCUGUCACCUCAGCCAUCUUGCGCUCUCGGAGACGAGACGAUACUCCGCCACUCCGGGGGCGAGAAGUAAGCGCGCGGACGCCACCUGUCAACCAUUCUGUCACAUCGAUAUUCGAUAUAUCGAAUAUCGAUGUAUCGCACGAGUGUCGCGCAUCGCGAAUCGCGGAGGAAGAGCUCGAUUCCGGAGGCGCUUCCACUUUUAAUCGCGCUACUCACGCUAGGUUCCUGGCGUUUGGGCGGCCAUGUUUUCAAAUGUCAUUUCAUGCGCCUGCGCAGAGACGCGUCUCUCGUGCACAACUUCGCGUGAUUCACUCUCGUAAGACAAGGAACGUAUACAGCACGUUUCGUUUUUGAAUGGACGCGUGUUAUAAUGCGUGUCACGACUCGAAGCACGCACGUGCUUCAAGCUUUAUCGGCCAAAGAUGCAUACGUACAAUUUGAUGAUCCUCUGGCUCCUGUCCGUCAAUUUUUCAGUGCGACAGUAUACGCGGAUUUACUAUCAGGCCUGAUCUACAUUUGGAAAAAGAAAUCCAUGCUGUGACACAAUACAUGCCGGUUUACAUAUACACGUACCUAUCAAUGGAGAGAUAGCAGCGUUCCGGCUUUCUGAUGCGCAUCGAAGCCACAAUUCAACAUGAGCUCUCAGCUGGAAAACGGUGCGUGUCUUCUCUAUCUGUUCAAGUCGCUGAUUCACUUCGAAGGAUCAAGAAUAAUAUCAUAAUAUACGGGGGCUUCACCUCGUCACAGACGGCAGCCUACGAAACAAAAAUUAACGACAAUCACGACAAAUCACGCGCGCAUCUAAAAAAGGAAAAGACAGUCGAAAAUUUAACAGACAUGUCACGGUAAUCAUCUAACAACGGAGCAGCCGAAGAUCUGAGUCAUGAUCCGCACAACUUAGAGAUGGUCGUCAGUAACCAGAUAAGUGAUUACCUUGUGCACCGGAUUACGGUGGUAUCUCACCUAUCGUCGAGAUGUAAGUGUCGUAGUACCGUUCGUCGCAGUAACGAUGCACGAUGCAGGUUUUGCCGACGUUCGAAUCGCCCAACACCAGUACCUUGUACGUGGCUGCAAAGUCCAACGCCAUGUUUGCCGUGGUGUUUUCGGGUGGUUUUGAACUGUUGUUAGGUCGACAACAGAGUCGUCGGCCGGGGGUUGCUCUUCGCGAACGCGCUGCUCCCGAGGGGGAUGGAGGAUCGAUUCGACGCUUGCGCUUUAGCCCCCUCGCGACAAGGGUUAAAGGUGUCCUCACAAUCGUGUGUGACUUUUCGCUGCUCAUGCGCGACUUUUAGAAGGCCACACAUCCGUAAAUGCAUCUCAAGCGCUCACGUGCGCAUCAAGAUGUAGAAUAUGUAGACGCAUAUGUAGACGCGCGCGUAAAAUUGCGCGCAUAUGUUGAGAUAAAUGUGUUAAUUCUUAUAUGUGUGAUAUAUUUUUAUAUAUUUGGUAUAUAUUUAUAUUGUAUAUUGAUAUAUAUUUUUAUAUAUAUUGGUAAUCGACGAUGUUUAUUAAGAGUAAUGUGCACCUGUCACAUACCUGCAGUAUAAUAAGAAAAUAAUAUGAUAAGAGAAUGCGCAGGAAAAGAUUUUCUCUUCUAUUUUUGCAUUUUUUUUGAACAUUGCAUCUUAUCUGAGUCUUUCUCAUGCAUAAUGAACCUCUGUAUAGCACGGAAUAAUUUAAUGGAAAAGUGUCGGGAUUUGAUAAUUUGCGGAAAUUUGCAUGUGUAAACAUGUAAUUGCGAGGGUGUCAGAAAUAAUUGAACAACAUUGGAAAUUAGGCCGCUUUAUUGUAUUCUCAUUAUUAAUCAGACCAACAUAUUUUUGCCGAAUUCAUAUUUUUGCAUAGAUAAUCGCUUUUAUUUUUCUUUGUCUUCUUUUUUUCUUUUACAUUCGAUAACAAAAUACUAUCGGAAUCAGAUUCUUAAAUUAACAAUUGUUAGACCACUUAGCACAAUCGUUUACUCUACACGUAAUGCUAGUUUGUCUUUUUUAUGAGACAAAUUUUAUAUUUUAAUUUUACAUAUGCUAUAAUUAUACGUCUCUCUAGAAUUAGAUAAAAUCUACUCAAGUACUUUUCGGGAAUGGCUUUGUAGCGAAAUAUAUCCGACGAUAAAUACGCUACAAUAAUUAAAAAUUAGUUUUGAUGCUUUGGUUGAUUUAAGCUGCGCUUAUUAAUUGUUUCACAUUAUCCUUCAGGAUAUCUGUAUAUCUACUAUGCAUAGAUAAUAUAUCGCGGGUAAAUCAUCAAAAAUUUCAUUACAGAAAGGAAAAUAAGUUUUUAAUUCUUAUCAGAUUGUAAAUAAAAAAUCAACAUGUUAGGGUUUCGUAUUACAUUAUUACUAACACUCAAAAAUUAUUACGCCUCUAAAAUUUUUUUUUUAGUAAACCAAUAUUUUUGAAGCA